Molecule: ribosomal RNA, 880 nt
Filed under: Salmonella enterica
Lineage: Bacteria; Pseudomonadati; Pseudomonadota; Gammaproteobacteria; Enterobacterales; Enterobacteriaceae
Also listed under: 1 other name
Description: partial 23S ribosomal RNA
Rfam family: Bacterial large subunit ribosomal RNA
Source: RNAcentral
AGACCCGAAACCCGGUGAUCUAGCCAUGGGCAGGUUGAAGGUUGGGUAACACUAACUGGAGGACCGAACCGACUAAUGUUGAAAAAUUAGCGGAUGACCUGUGGCUGGGGGUGAAAGGCCAAUCAAACCGGGAGAUAGCUGGUUCUCCCCGAAAGCUAUUUAGGUAGCGCCUCGUGAAUUCAUCUCCGGGGGUAGAGCACUGUUUCGGCUAGGGGGCCAUCCCGGCUUACCAACCCGAUGCAAACUGCGAAUACCGGAGAAUGUUAUCACGGGAGACACACGGCGGGUGCUAACGUCCGUCGUGAAGAGGGAAACAACCCAGACCGCCAGCUAAGGUCCCAAAGUCAUGGUUAAGUGGGAAACGAUGUGGGAAGGCCCAGACAGCCAGGAUGUUGGCUUAGAAGCAGCCAUCAUUUAAAGAAAGCGUAAUAGCUCACUGGUCGAGUCGGCCUGCGCGGAAGAUGUAACGGGGCUAAACCAUGCACCGAAGCUGCGGCAGCGAACGUAUCACCCAAGACAACUUUACGGAGUUGACGAUUGACGGAGCGAAGCGACGUCAAAGCGUUCAUUAAAGUCGAGUUGGCUUAGGGAUACGUUCGUUGGGUAGGGGAGCGUUCUGUAAGCCUGUGAAGGUGUGUCGUGAGGCAUGCUGGAGGUAUCAGAAGUGCGAAUGCUGACAUAAGUAACGAUAAAGCGGGUGAAAAGCCCGCUCGCCGGAAGACCAAGGGUUCCUGUCCAACGUUAAUCGGGGCAGGGUGAGUCGACCCCUAAGGCGAGGCCGAAAGGCGUAGUCGAUGGGAAACGGGUUAAUAUUCCCGUACUUGGUGUUACUGCGAAGGGGGGACGGAGAAGGCUAUGUUGGCCGGGCGACGGUUGUCCC